GGCUGUAGUAGCAGCAGUAGUGGCUGUAGUAGCAGUAGUAGUGGCUGUAGUAGCAGCAGCAGUGGCUGUAGUGGUAGCAGCAGUAGUGGCUGUAGUAGUAGUAGUGACUGUAGUAGCAGUAGCAGCAGUGGCUGUAGUAGCAGCAGUAGCAGGGGCUGUAGUAGCAGCAGUGGCUGUAGUAGCAGCAGUAGUGGCUGUAGUAGCAGCAGUAGUGGCUGUAGUAGCAGCAGUAGUGGCUGUAGUAGUAGCAGUAGUGGCUGUAGUAGUAGCAG
Molecule: long non-coding RNA, 272 nt
Organism: Oncorhynchus keta (chum salmon)
Lineage: Eukaryota; Metazoa; Chordata; Actinopteri; Salmoniformes; Salmonidae
Exons: 3
Source: RefSeq, a predicted model, not a curated record